GUGCUCACUUCGGUAGCACAUAUACUAAAAUUGGAAUGAUACAGAGAAGAUUAGCAUGGCCCCUGCAUAAGGAUGAUAUGCAAAUUCAUGAAACAUUCAAUUUUUUU
RNAcentral lists this small nuclear RNA (107 nucleotides) under Jaculus jaculus (lesser Egyptian jerboa). The record is from RNAcentral. Lineage: Eukaryota; Metazoa; Chordata; Mammalia; Rodentia; Dipodidae.